CAUUAAAGUUGUAUAUAUUCAUUCCGAGUCUCUUUAUUCUUCUUCAUUAUCUCCUAUCACAUCUUGAACUGCUGUUCUUCAUUAAUUCAAUAAUAUUCUCUUCAAAGCUCCAUUCUUUCUCAAGUUUUGGAAGAUGAGAAGAAUCUGUAACUUGGAGCUAAGGCUUGUCCCUCCUUGUGUUUCAGCUUUUUCUCCUAAAGAAUAUUGCACUACCACUCCAUUCUUCUCCAUGUAACUCUCUCUCUCUCUCUCCAUGUUUUGAGUUUUUGAAGUUCAAUUAUCCCUUUUCUGUUAUAUCACUGAUCUUAUAGUUCCUUCGUCUCAAUUUAUGGGAUGUAUUGUGACCGGCAUAAUAGAAAGAUACGGAGGUUCAGUAUUAGGAUUGUAGGUUAGAAGAUAGUUGAAUCUUGCCUUACUUCGUACUAUUGUGGGACUAGUCUAGUAGAAUUUUUGUUUAGCUACUGACAAUGUUGUGUCUUACUAUUUCGUUUUUCCGUGAAUGACAUAUUUACUAGCUAUCACUUUUGCUUUGCAUGUUUCUUUUGGAUUUCAUGUUGUUCUUAUUUUCCGUAUGAUCUUUUUGGUGAUACUAAUAAUGUCUCCUUUUGUCUUUUUGUUUUCUUGAACUCCCUUGACCACUAAACUACACUUUUGGGUUGUUUUAAGGCGGUUCAAAACUUAAUAGAUAGAGG
Molecule: long non-coding RNA, 692 nt
Filed under: Nicotiana benthamiana
Lineage: Eukaryota; Viridiplantae; Streptophyta; Magnoliopsida; Solanales; Solanaceae
Description: long non-coding RNA (NBEN_LNC017104)
Source: RNAcentral